GUCCCCGUCGUCUAGCCGGCCCAGGACACCGCCUUCUCAAGGCGACAACACAAGUUCAAAUCUUGUCGGGGACGCCA
Molecule: transfer RNA, 77 nt
Filed under: Granulicella aggregans
Lineage: Bacteria; Pseudomonadati; Acidobacteriota; Terriglobia; Terriglobales; Acidobacteriaceae
Description: tRNA-Glu
Rfam family: tRNA
About the family: Transfer RNA (tRNA) molecules are approximately 80 nucleotides in length. Their secondary structure includes four short double-helical elements and three loops (D, anti-codon, and T loops).
Source: RNAcentral